Molecule: long non-coding RNA, 6095 nt
Filed under: Capsicum annuum
Lineage: Eukaryota; Viridiplantae; Streptophyta; Magnoliopsida; Solanales; Solanaceae
Description: long non-coding RNA (CANN_LNC007491)
Source: RNAcentral
ACCCUAAGAAGUGUUCUUGAGAGAAUUUGAGAGAAUGAGGGUAUAAUUUGGUUAUUAGAGGCUGAAUCUCGUGUUAUUAGGGCUAUUUAAGGGUGGGAAAUGACUGUCACACCCCUUUUUUUUAACCAAAAAGAUUUGUUUUAAGUUUCGAAAGGGUUUUAAUUAUUAAGUGACAAAAUGAAGAUUUGUUUCGAAAAGGACUUUUAUAUUCAAAACUUAGAGUCGCCACUUGGCAAAAUCCGGUGUGCCAAGUCACCUUUGAAAGAUCCUUUUCGAAAUGAUUUGACUCUUUAAAACUGGUUUGCGAACAGAGCUUCCAACUAAGAAAUUCUGUUGACCAAGGGGAAGGUGUUAGGCACCUCUUGAUCCCGUGGUUCGACCACGGUCGCUUGAUGGAGUGUAUUGACUAUUUUGGCACUAUGAAUGCAUAAACCACACAAAAGCACAUAAAACAACCAGCCAAAACAACCAAACCCAAAUCCAAAAUAUAGUGUCCAGUCCAAUUAUACAGUCCAAAAUAAAAAUGCGAAAACAUAAAUCCUAUUCUAACCUAGACUAAUCCUAUACUACGCUCGCCUCGGGCCUUCACCACGAACAUCUUCCAAGUACAAGAUACUUCGGGCCAUUUCCCGGAUAAAUCAAUACAAAUCCCUCGAGGCAUUCCCCGACCAAAUGAAUACAUUUUUUAGUGAGAGAAAAUCACACUAUUCAACAAAAUUUCAAACAUUCCACGGAAUUUUCAACAUUCAACCAAAGCCACAAAUUCUAAACAUUUGCCUACCUAACCUAUGUUUGCCUAAAUCAAUCGACAUAUAAUGAUACUACCAAGUUCAAUUAACGUUCAUUUCAAGUCAAACAAUCGAUUCAAAUUACUUCAAUAGUCUUGGAUUCCAAUCCCCCACAUUCUCUUUUUUUAACAUCAAAUUUUCCCAAUUCCACAAUUCAAGAUUACUAUUUCAACAAUCCACAACUACUUCCUCAAUGAAAUUAAGCAAAACAAAUCAAUAUCACCCAAUAUUCAAUCACGUUUCACACAAAUCAAACACGAAUGAUAAAAUAAAUAAAAAGAGAUAGAAUUGGACCUCAAGUGUCGAUUUCAAUAUAUAGGAGGUAACACCGCGCUAAAAAAACUCAAUUCGAACCUCAAUCAAUAAAUCCUAGCUCGAUAUACCUUUUUUCUCUGUUUUUCACCAACAUGAGUCAAUAUUUGAGCGAGAGAAGCGAAACCCGCGCCUGCUCCGAGAUCUGGUCACCGGAUUUUAUAGAUUUUUCAGCGGGUUUCGCCGGAACUAACUCAACAGGGACGAGUUUAAUAGAAAACUAGAUGCGGGGUGGGGAAACAGGUUUGUUGGUACUAGCUAAUGGAGUCGAUUUGGUCGGAAAUGACACUGGGUUUGCUGCCGGACAGUGAUGGAGUUACGAUUCUGGUGAAAAUUCGCCGAAAAAUCUGUUCCUAUCCUAUUUUCUCUUCCUUUUCAACUCUUUAUGCUCGUCUCGAUCUCUUCCUCUCACUAUUCUCUCUCAAUCUCUCUGAUUCUCCUCAACCCCAUCGAUCUCUCUAUCAAACCCAAUCUCUCUCACUCGUUUCUCUACCCUCUACCCGUUCUUCAUCUCUCUCGAACUUCUACUGUGUGUGAGUUGGAUGUUGCUUUGUGAAAAAUGGUGAGGUGAAGCUAUCUAUGGCAUGAUAUUUGUGCGUGGAUUGAGAGUAAAAAAUGAAAAAUAAUUGAAUCUGUUACUGUAUAUUUCUCAAUGGGAGCUCUAAGUGGGUGGAAAGCUAUCUUUCAAUGGAAAAAAAUGUUGAUCCCUCCCCUGUGUUUCCUAUGAACCCCUCUUUAAUGUAAAGAUGAUGUUUAUGGUGUGGACCUCCGCAAUGGAAAAGAAAAUAUGGCGUGAGGAGUCUUUUUGUGUGAUGGUAUGUGGGCCCCUAGAAUUGUUGUUGUGUAUUCAAUUGUUAGAUGGAAUCCAAGAAGGGGGGCUGAGGUGGGGGUAGGUAGGUGGGGUAGAGGAGGGUUAACACUUGAAGACAUGCCCCAGUUUUUGUAUGAAACAUCUUCUUUACUUGCAAGUCUUAGGAAACUUUUCACAGCAUUUCCUGUACUCUUUAUUUUUCCAACCAUUUCCUUUGGCUUUUCUGGCACACUAGGUUUCUUCUUAAGAAAUUUUUGUGAUCCAGUUAGCAUAAAAGUAGGAUCAGAAGUAUAGCGAUGAUCACCAAGAGUAUUGAACAAGGGUCCAUUAGCAGCAUGAGCAAGCACAACUGUUGGGCGGUUGGCCAAUGUAGAAGCCUCAAUAGGGGUGAGCAACAAGAUCACAGACGAUAAGUGGUGUUGUGAAUAUAGCAGGCUUAUACUGAGGAGCUAGAGGAAAAGUGGUGGAUGAUUUUGGCUUGGAAUGAAUUUUGAGUCAUGUUGUGGUGCAUCAACAACAGUAGGACACCAACUUUGCGAUUUUCGUGGAAAACUCGAGCUAUUUGUAGGAUAAAUAAAGGGAAAUGAAUGAGGAGGCAACCCACUGGCCCAAACUCGAUGCAUUUCUGUCAUUUGUUGUCUUAGCCUCUUAAUCUUUUGCUUUAAACUCUCAUUUUCCUGAUUCUUUGUUUUGAUCCAUGAUGUCACUCUCUAUAUCUUUGUUGGACACAACUAACCCUUUGGAUUUGGUGUGAUGUGGAGGACUAGCCAGAAUGCCACAAACCAACCACCUUAAACUCACUCACCAAAAAACAGCAAAUGUGUUAGAGUUCAACACUUUUUCAAAACUCUUUUUCCUUUUUUUUUUUUUAAAUUCACCAAACCCAAAAAGGGUGCCUACGUAUCUCACUCCCGAAAGGGGAGAAUCAGGUGUGCGUAGUUCGUGAAGUCUUGCCAAAAUGGCCAAUUAAUUCUUUUCCUUUCUUUUUUUCUUUUCCUUGAAACUUUAAGAAAAAAGAAAAUAACAAUUUGUCAAAAGAAUUGACUAAAAUCUUUUUGCAUUUUUCAAGUUUAAACUCCCUCUACAAAAUGGAACCUAUGAUUACCAAAAAAAAAUAUCUUUUGGGGUUUUCAAUUUUGAAUUUCAUAGGAAAAUGAAACUGAAACUAUUAAAGAAAAAUCUUUUUGUAGUUUUCUUUUAAAUAUGUACAUGAAACACCUACUCUAAAUGAUGAGUGAAAUUAUUUUUUUGUACUUUUGAAAUAAGAUUCCCGAACCCACAAUAGGCUGUCUACGUAUCUCACUCCCGAUAGAGGAAAAUCAGGGGUGCGUAGUUCGUCCAGAUUGGACAAAUAAGGAUUAAAUAAAUAACACCCUGACUUGAGAGACACGAGCACAAACAGAAGAUGCAAAACGUCCAUAAAAUUUUUUGAAUUUUCAAUUUGACACUUCACAUAAAAAUGACACCAACAACUAUGAAAAAAAAUCUUUUUGGUAUUUUCGUGAAAUGUACAAAACUCCUAUAAUUUUUUUUUCAUUUUUCUUUUAUAAAAACUCCUAUGAAUGAAAAAUAUUUUUAAAGUCUUCAAAUUGUGAAUGUAUACUAAAUAAGAGAAAGGAAAAAUCUUUUUGAUGUUUUUGUCUUUGAUAAAUGAGUGCAAAAGGUAAAUCUUUUUGAAUUUUUAGAUUGUGGAGAAUAAAAACCAUAAAAAACUCAAAAAAAAAAAUUACGAAACACUUUUUUUUUUCUUUUCUCUUUUUCUCCCUUUUUUUUAAACCUUUCCUUAUCUAUACACUUCCUUUAAUUCUAGAACAUACUUUUUCCCAAAACAGUCUGUCAAAUGACCCCAUUACCCUCAAAGAUGUAACAUUUAGCACGUAGAGAUGCUUUAGAGGUGAGUCUCCUACAAAGGCCCAAGUGAGCCCCACUAGGUCUCAAUAUGAUGCACAUAAACAUGACCUGAAGGCUGACCUACGUUGAGGUUCACUAACAAGGCUGUUCGGGGGAGCGUAUGAUCGAUAAUGGCUGCGACACCUUUUCACCUACUCCAUACAACCCAAUGGCUCCCCCUCCUAAAAUAAGGGUGACUCAACUAUAAGUUGUGUACACACGUGUACUACGGACUUGUUGUAGAAAGAAUGACUCGGGCUAUGGGCAUAAUGCCAGAUAUAAAGCAGUAACACAUAAAGUGAAAAUUAUAAACAAAGAGCACGUAGACACUCAACAAUGAUAAAACAAAAACACAAAACAACACAAACAAAAUGUCUAUAAACCUAUAGUGCCAAACUAAGCUGAUACAACUCCUAAAUAAGCUCGAAUUCUGAAAAAUUCCCCAGCAGAGUCGCCAGAGCUAUCACACCCCUUUUUUUAACCAAAAAGAGUUGUUUUAAGUUUCGAAAGGGUUUUAAUUAUUAAGUGACAAAAUGAAGAUUUGUUUCGAAAAGGACUUUUAUAUUCAAAACUCAGAGUCGCCACUUAGCAAUUCCGGUGUGCCAAGUCACCUUUGAAAGAUCCUUUUCGAAACGAUUUGACUCUUUAAAAUUGGUUUGCGAACAGAGAUUCCGACUAAGGAAUUCUGCUGACCAAGGGGAAGGUGUUAGGCACCCCUCGAUCCCGUAGUUCGACCACGGUCGCUUGAUGGAGUGUAUUGACUAUUUUGGCACUACGAAUUCAUAAACCACACAAAAGCACAUAAAACAACCAACCAAAACAAACAAACCCAAAUCUAAAAUAUAGUGUCCAGUCCAAUUAUACAGUCUAAAAUAAAAAUGCGAAAACAUAAAUCUGUUCUAACCUAGACUAAUCCUAUUCUACGCUCCGCUGCUUCAACCGAUGCCUCGGGCCUUCACCAUUAACAUCUCCAAGUACAAGAUACUUCGGGGCAUUCCCCGAAUAAAUCAAUACAAAUCCCUCGAGGCAUUCCCCGGCCAAAUAAAUACAUUUUUUAGUGCGAGAAAAUCACAUUAUUCAAUAAAAUUUCAAAUAUUCCACGGAAUUUUCAACAUUCAACCAAAGCCACCAAUUCUAAACAUUUGCCUACCCAACCUAUGUUUGCCUAAAUCAAUCGACGUAUCAUGAUACUACCAAGUUCAAUUAACGUUCAUUUCAAGUCAAACAAUCGAUUCAAAUUACUUCAUAGUCUUCGAUUCCAAUCCCCGACAUUCUCUUUUAACAUCAAAUUUUCCCAAUUCCACAAUUCAAGAUUACUAUUUCAACAAUCCACAACCAUUUCCUCAAUGAAAUUAAGCAAAACAAAUCAAUAUCACCUAAUAUUCAAUCACGUCUCACACAAAUCAAACACGGAUAAUAAAAUAAAUAAGAAGAGAUAGAACUGGACCUCAAGUGUCGAUUUCAAUACACAGGAGGUAACACCGCGCUCGAAAAAAUUCAAUUCGAACCUCAAUCAACAAACCCGAGUUUGAUAUACCCUUUUUCUCUGUUUUUCACCAACACGAAUCAAUAUUUAAGCGAGAGAAGCGAAACCCGCGCCUGCUCCGAGAUCUGGUCGCCGAAUUUUAUAGAUUUUUCGGCGGGUUUCGCCGGAACUGACUCAACAGAGAUGAGUUUAAUAGAAAGCUAGAUGCAGGGUGGGGAAAUAGGUUCGCUGGUACUAGCUGGUGGAGUUGGUUUGGUCGGAAACGACAGUGGGUUUGCUGCCGGACAGUGAUGGAGUUACGAUUCCGGCGAAAAUUCGCCAAAAAAUCCAUUCCUAUCCUAUUUUCUCUUCUUUUUUAGCUCUCUAUGCUCGUCUCGAUCUCUUCCUCUCACUAUUCUCUCUCGAUCUCUCUGAUUCUCCUCAACCCCGUCGAUCUCUCUGUCAAACCCAAUCUCUCUCACUCGUUUCUCUACCCUCUACCCGUUCUUCAUCUCUCUCGAACUUCUACUGUGUGUGAGUUGGAUGUUGCUUUGCUAAAAAUGGUGAGAUGAAGCUAUCUAUGGCAUGAUAUUUGUGCGUGGAUUGAGAGUAAAAAAUGAAAAAUAAUUGAAUCUGUUACUAUGUAUUUCUCAAUGGGAGCUCUAAGUGGGUGGAAAGCUAUCUUUCAAUGGAUAAAAAUGCUGAUCCCUCCCCUCUGUUUCCUAUGAACCCCUUUUAUGUGAAGAUGAUGUUUAUGGUGUGGACCCCCGCAAUGGAAAAGAAAAUAUGGCGUGAGGUGUCUUUUUGUGUGAUGGUAUGUGGGCCCCUG